Molecule: ribosomal RNA, 405 nt
Filed under: uncultured bacterium
Lineage: Bacteria
Description: partial 16S ribosomal RNA
Rfam family: Bacterial small subunit ribosomal RNA
Source: RNAcentral
GAUGAACGCUGGCGGCGUGCCUAAUACAUGCAAGUCGAGCGAAGCGGGGACGGGUGAGUAACACGUGGAUAACCUCCUAUAAGACUGGGAUAACUUCGGGAAACCGGAGCUAAACCGGAUACGUAUAGAUGGAUCCGCGUGUAAUUAGUUAGUGGGGAAGUUAACGGCUUACCAAGGCAACGAUCCAUAGCCGACCUGAGAGUGGGACCGGCCAAACUGGAACUGAGACACGGUCCAGAUUCCUACGGGAGGAAGCAGUAGGGAAUCUUCCGAAAUGGGCGAAAGCCUGACAGAGAAACGCCGCGUGAGUGAUGAAGGUCUUCGGUCCGUAAAACUCUGUUAUUAGGGAAGCGGUACCUAAUCAGAAAGCCACGGCUAACUACGUGCCAGCCGCCGCGGUAAUAC